CCACGCCGGGCUGGUAGUGGCGUGGCUACACCGUGGCCUCAAGGAGCCAGUCCUGCCCGGAUGGGGCUCGCCGGAUCGGUUUCGGUUUUCACGCACUCCCAUUUCUGUGGCCGCUGUGCAUUCGCGGAGUGUUCUCUGCUGCUUCUGGGUCCUGACAGUCUUGAAAAGAUCCAGCUGCUGAACUGGUAAGAGGUGGACUGCUGCCUCUGCAUGUGUAGAGCACAGGAACUGACAUGGCUGCUAGGGAUCUGACUCUAGCUCUACCUCAG
RNAcentral lists this long non-coding RNA (269 nucleotides) under Homo sapiens (human). RNAcentral's name for it is "HSALNT0407734". The record is from RNAcentral. Lineage: Eukaryota; Metazoa; Chordata; Mammalia; Primates; Hominidae.